Molecule: ribosomal RNA, 236 nt
Filed under: uncultured bacterium
Lineage: Bacteria
Description: partial 16S ribosomal RNA
Rfam family: Bacterial small subunit ribosomal RNA
Source: RNAcentral
UACGUAGGGUGCAAGCGUUAAUCGGAAUUACUGGGCGUAAAGCGUGCGCAGGCGGUUGUGCAAGACAGAUGUGAAAUCCCCGGGCUCAACCUGGGAAUUGCAUUUGUGACUGCACGGCUAGAGCGUGUCAGAGGGGGGGUAGAAUUCCACGUGUAGCAGUGAAAUGCGUAGAGAUGUGGAGGAAUACCGAUGGCGAAGGCAGCCCCCCUGGGAUAACACUGACGCUGCAUGCACGG